AUUGAACGCUGGCGGCAUGCUUUACACAUGCAAGUCGAACGGCAGCGCGGGCUUCGGCCUGGCUGCGAGUGGCGAACGGGUGAGUAAUGCAUCGGAACGUGCCCAGUAGUGGGGGAUAGCCCGGCGAAAGCCGGAUUAAUACCGCAUACGACCUGAGGGUGAAAGCGGGGGACCGAAAGGCCUCGCGCCAUUGGAGCGGCCGAUGUCGGAUUAGCUAGUUGGUGGGGUAAAGGCUUACCAAGGCGACGAUCCGUAGCUGGUCUGAGAGGACGACCAGCCACACUGGGACUGAGACACGGCCCAGACUCCUACGGGAGGCAGCAGUGGGGAAUUUUGGACAAUGGGGGCAAGCCUGAUCCAGCCAUGCCGCGUGCGGGAAGAAGGCCUUCGGGUUGUAAACCGCUUUUGUUCGGGAAGAAAUCCUCUGGGCUAAUACCCCGGGGGGAUGACGGUACCGGAAGAAUAAGCACCGGCUAACUACGUG
RNAcentral lists this ribosomal RNA (484 nucleotides) under uncultured bacterium. Its description in RNAcentral is "partial 16S ribosomal RNA". It matches the Rfam family "Bacterial small subunit ribosomal RNA", at positions 28 to 507 of the family's 1533-position model. The record is from RNAcentral.